CACUGUUGGUUAUGUGUGCCCAAGCAUUGAGGCAGUCAAAGCAGGCAAAUCCGCUUUGAUAAUGCUGGGAUGGGAUGGGGAGCGAAAUUUAGUAGCGAAGUAGCUGAUUUCACACUGUCAAGAAAAGGCUCUAUCGAGGUUAAAGGUACCCGUACCGCAAACCGACACAGGUGGGUGAGGAGAGUAUCCUAAGGCCAGCGAGAGAACUGUUGUUAAGGAACUCGGCAAAAUGACCCCGUAACGUAGGGAUAAGGGGUGCCACCAUCAGGUGGCCGCAGAGAAUAGGCCCAAGCGACUGUUUACCAAAAACAUAGGUUUCUGCUAAGUCGCAAGACGAUGUAUAGGAGCUGACGCCUGCCCGGUGCUGGAAGGUUAAGGGGAUCUGUUAGAGCAA
RNAcentral lists this ribosomal RNA (394 nucleotides) under Clostridioides difficile. RNAcentral's name for it is "bacterial LSU rRNA". It matches the Rfam family "Bacterial large subunit ribosomal RNA", at positions 1493 to 1898 of the family's 2925-position model. Lineage: Bacteria; Bacillati; Bacillota; Clostridia; Peptostreptococcales; Peptostreptococcaceae. The record is from RNAcentral.